RNAcentral lists this ribosomal RNA (230 nucleotides) under uncultured bacterium. Its description in RNAcentral is "partial 16S ribosomal RNA". It matches the Rfam family "Bacterial small subunit ribosomal RNA", at positions 562 to 791 of the family's 1533-position model. The record is from RNAcentral.
AAAGCGUGCGCAGGCGGCUUUGCAAGACAGAUGUGAAAUCCCCGGGCUCAACCUGGGAACUGCAUUUGUGACUGCAAGGCUAGAGUACGGCAGAGGGGGAUGGAAUUCCGCGUGUAGCAGUGAAAUGCGUAGAUAUGCGGAGGAACACCGAUGGCGAAGGCAAUCCCCUGGGCCUGUACUGACGCUCAUGCACGAAAGCGUGGGGAGCAAACAGGAUUAGAUACCCCUGU